Non-coding RNA from Xylaria sp. CBS 124048, 101 nucleotides. Lineage: Eukaryota; Fungi; Ascomycota; Sordariomycetes; Xylariales; Xylariaceae. The record is from the annotation of a GenBank genome assembly.
GGGCGAAUGGUCUAGGGGUAUGAUACUCCCUUCGCAUUUCCUGAAUUUAGGAGGUUAUUUGUGACUGGGAGGGGUCCGGGGUUCAAUUCCCCGUUCGUCCA